RNAcentral lists this ribosomal RNA (317 nucleotides) under uncultured bacterium. Its description in RNAcentral is "bacterial SSU rRNA". It matches the Rfam family "Bacterial small subunit ribosomal RNA", at positions 28 to 334 of the family's 1533-position model. The record is from RNAcentral.
GAUGAACGCUAGCUACAGGCUUAACACAUGCAAGUCGAGGGGCAGCAUGGUCUUAGCUUGCUAAGGCUGAUGGCGACCGGCGCACGGGUGAGUAACACGUAUCCAACCUGCCGUCUACUCUUGGCCAGCCUUCUGAAAGGAAGAUUAAUCCAGGAUGGGAUCAUGAGUUCACAUGUCCGCAUGAUUAAAGGUAUUUUCCGGUAGACGAUGGGGAUGCGUUCCAUUAGUUAGUUGGCGGGGUAACGGCCCACCAAGACAACGAUGGAUAGGGGUUCUGAGAGGAAGGUCCCCCACAUUGGAACUGAGACACGGUCCAA